AUGACCGCCACUCUGAGCCGCCGCCACACCAAGAUCGAGCAGCCCUCCGCCGAUUCGCCUGACAAGACCUCCUCAGCCGGCCCAUCUGGUAAUGUACCAGAGGACCGUGCCGCCCCUUCCUCUUCUCCCAGGCGCCACGAGGAGGAGGAGGAGGAGGUGAUCCCCGCCCUGCCGCGGAAGCGCUGCGAAGAUCCGCGCUCUCUGAGGCUCAGGCUGCUGAACCUCAUCCGUACCUUCUACCUGGAGGCGCUCUCCCGCCUGCCCGCCGCCCGACUCUGGAGCACGCACGCCCGCGGCGUCCUCGUCGCCGGCCACUGCUACGGGCCCCUCUCGCCCGUCGACAGCAUCCUCGUCAACGCCAUCUGGUACGACACAGCCUUUCCCCGCCGCCCCACCGGCGACUUUCACUUCGGCGAUGUGCUCGAGAUCAGUCCCGAAUGCAUCGCCCGCAUCGCUCACCGCUCCCUGGAGGGCCUCAUCGCCUGCCUCCUUCACCUCUGCCCCUCCCUCUCGCGCGACGACGCGCUCUUGCACCUCCACCUCUCCAAGGCCGACCUCUCCCGAGCCAUCGCCUCUGCCUCCGAUUCCGUCUCGGCGCCCACCCAAGCCGCCUUUCUCAAGGCCGCCGAGGCGGCGCACCACCCCAUGCCACACGCUUUGGCGCUCUUCGUCUCCUCGGUACUUCCCAAGGUUGAGCGUGAUGCGAGAAUGCUUCUCUGCGUCAACCGGGCGCUCACCGCCCCUGAGCUCGACCGCCUCUCUGACAUGCUGGUGCCCUCCCCGCUUCCGGAGGACCUCUAUCCUCCUCCCCCACUGGUGACGUCCUGGGUGGCCGCCGUAAUCAAGUCGCGCAUCGAAGGCUGCAAAUAUUCCCAGGAAACCUCACGCCAGCUGGUUGAGGCUGCAUUGUCCAAAUAUGCUCAGCAAACAGGCCAACAUUACGAGCUCCAUUUAGUCUGUGGCAUAAAUUUGUUCAUCCAAUCCGAAGCCUUUUGGCACAUCAACUUCUUGGCACGGCCAAAGGACGCUGCUGGUGAACUGCCCAUUUACUUCUUCGCCGAAGCAACGGUUGCAAUGGGCGAGGACGACGAAUUCCAAGAGGAGGAUAUCGUCUUGUGCUGCCCAAUCAAACCGGCUGGAAUUGGUGGGUGUGGAGCUUGUACUGCCCAAUAUAAAAAGCUCAACCACCCUAUUGACAAAGAACACCAUGGGGGAUUGGAUGACUAUGACGAAGAGAUUGGGAAUGGAGAUGAUCACUGGGAUUAUAAAUUUCCUCAGCUUGUAGACUUCAUCAUGUUUGAUGCUGAGAAGGACUGUGCAACUGUACGUCAUAUAGAGAAGCGCUUUCCUCCUAGGCCCGACGGGGAUGAAAGCGCCGAGAAUUUAUGGAUCACUGAAAUGUGA
This 1404-nucleotide ribosomal RNA is filed under the name Triticum aestivum (bread wheat). Its description in RNAcentral is "partial small subunit ribosomal RNA". The record is from RNAcentral. Lineage: Eukaryota; Viridiplantae; Streptophyta; Magnoliopsida; Poales; Poaceae.